RNAcentral lists this ribosomal RNA (429 nucleotides) under uncultured bacterium. Its description in RNAcentral is "bacterial SSU rRNA". It matches the Rfam family "Bacterial small subunit ribosomal RNA", at positions 355 to 776 of the family's 1533-position model. The record is from RNAcentral.
UGGGGAAUCUUGCACAAUGCGCGAAAGCGUGAUGCAGCAACGCCGCGUGAGGGAAGACGGCUUUCGGGUUGUAAACCUCUUUCAGUUGGGACGAAGCCUCGUCGGUUAAUAGCCGGCUGGGGUGACGGUACCUUCAGAAGAAGCCCCGGCUAACUACGUGCCAGCAGCCGCGGUAAUACGUAGGGGGCAAGCGUUGUCCGGAAUCAUUGGGCGUAAAGCGCGUGUAGGCGGUCCGGUAAGUCCGCUCUGAAAGUCGGGGGCUCAACCCUCGGAUGCGGGUGGAUACUGUCGGGCUAGAGUGCGGAAGAGGCGAGUGGAAUUCCUGGUGUAGCGGUGAAAUGCGCAGAUAUCAGGAGGAACACCAAUUGCGAAGGCAGCUCGCUGGGACGUUACUGACGCUGAGACGCGAAAGCGUGGGGAGCAAACAGG